This 464-nucleotide ribosomal RNA is filed under the name uncultured bacterium. RNAcentral's name for it is "partial 16S ribosomal RNA". It matches the Rfam family "Bacterial small subunit ribosomal RNA", at positions 339 to 795 of the family's 1533-position model. The record is from RNAcentral.
CUACGGGUCGCAGCAGUGGGGAAUUUUGGACAAUGGGGGCAACCCUGAUCCAGCCAUGCCGCGUGAGUGAAGAAGGCCUUCGGGUUGUAAAGCUCUUUCAGCCGGGAAGAAAUCGCAUGGGCCAAUACCCUGUGCGGAUGACGGUACCGGAAUAAGAAGCACCGGCUAACUCCGUGCCAGCAGCCGCGGUAAUACGUAGGGUGCGAGCGUUAAUCGGAAUUACUGGGCGUAAAGCGUGCGCAGGCGGAUGCUUAAGUCAGAUGUGAAAUCCCCGGGCUUAACCUGGGAAGUGCAUUUGAAACUGGGUGUCUAGAGUGCGGCAGAGGGGGGUGGAAUUCCACGUGUAGCAGUGAAAUGCGUAGAUAUGUGGAGGAACACCAAUGGCGAAGGCAGCCCCCUGGGAUGACACUGACGCUCAUGCACGAAAGCGUGGGGAGCAAACAGGAUUAGAUACCCGUGUAGUC